Bombina bombina (fire-bellied toad) is the source of this 497-nucleotide non-coding RNA. NCBI's taxonomy places the organism in Eukaryota, Metazoa, Chordata, Amphibia, Anura, Bombinatoridae. The record is from the annotation of a RefSeq genome assembly.
UCAGUCUGUAUCUGAGCUCUCUCAGUAACACAAAGAUGCUUUAUCCAACUUAUCUGCUGUGUUUAUUGUUGUGCUAUAUUCAGUAUUCCUGUGGACAGACCAUGAUGACACAGACUCCAGAUUUAUUCACUGUGCCACCUGGAGAAACUAUCAGCAUCAAAUGUAAAGCCAGUAGCAGUGUUAGCACCAGCUACUUGCACUGGUACCAACAGAAAUCAGGACAAGCUCCAAAGCUUCUUAUCUAUGGUACAAGCAACAAACACACAGGGACCCCAGACAGGUUCAGCGGCAGUGGGUCUGGUACUGAUUACGCUCUCACUAUCAGCGGAGUGCAUGCAGAAGAUGAAGCAGAUUAUUACUGUCAGCAGAGUAACAGCUGGCCUCUCACAGUGAUACAGAGCUGUACAAAAACCUUCCUCUUUUUUCAGCUCAGAGUUUUAAUGAAAAGCUUGUACGGAGUGAUGUUUCUGAGUGAUUGUUUAUUGUUGUUCAUUUAG